GGUUUUGCAGAGUGGCAGUAUCGUAGCCAAUGAGGUUAAUCUGAGGCAUGAUUAUUACCGACUGAAAACUUUUCUCUGAUUUUAAAAAAAACAAAUUCUUUGAUUUUAAAAAAAG
RNAcentral lists this small nuclear RNA (115 nucleotides) under Crocodylus porosus (Australian saltwater crocodile). RNAcentral describes it as "U4 spliceosomal RNA (ENSCPRG00005012400.1)". It matches the Rfam family "U4 spliceosomal RNA". From Rfam's summary of the family: U4 small nuclear RNA (U4 snRNA) is a component of the major U2-dependent spliceosome. The structure of U4 snRNA from yeast and human has been reported. Lineage: Eukaryota; Metazoa; Chordata; Crocodylia; Crocodylidae. The record is from Rfam by way of RNAcentral.